GCUAACUACGUGCCAGCAGCCGCGGUAAUACGUAGGUGGCAAGCGUUGUCCGGAUUUAUUGGGCGUAAAGCGCGCGCAGGCGGUCUUUUAAGUCUGAUGUGAAAGCCCCCGGCUUAACCGGGGAGGGUCAUUGGAAACUGGAAGACUGGAGUGCAGAAGAGGAGAGUGGAAUUCCACGUGUAGCGGUGAAAUGCGUAGAUAUGUGGAGGAACACCAGUGGCGAAGGCGACUCUCUGGUCUGUAACUGACGCUGAGGCGCGAAAGCGUGGGGAGCAAACAGGAUUAGAUACCCUGGUAGUCCACGC
Molecule: ribosomal RNA, 305 nt
Filed under: Listeria monocytogenes
Lineage: Bacteria; Bacillati; Bacillota; Bacilli; Caryophanales; Listeriaceae
Description: bacterial SSU rRNA
Rfam family: Bacterial small subunit ribosomal RNA
Source: RNAcentral